Molecule: ribosomal RNA, 1035 nt
Filed under: Triticum aestivum (bread wheat)
Lineage: Eukaryota; Viridiplantae; Streptophyta; Magnoliopsida; Poales; Poaceae
Description: partial small subunit ribosomal RNA
Source: RNAcentral
AUGGCGUCUCCUCCGGGCCCGGGGUCUGCCAACCGCGCGCUCUCCUCCUCAUCGAGGGGGCCGCUCUCGCCCUUCCCCGGCGGCGCGGGCCCGUUCCUCCGGCAUCAACCUCCUCCCGGCGGCGACUCCGAUGGCGGCGCCUCCAUGGACGAGUUCGACGAAGAUGACGAGGACGAGGACGAGGAAGAGGAUGAUGGGGAGGAUCAGGACGCCGAGCUGGCGGCCCGCAGCUCGCAGCAGCGACGCGCCUCCUCUCCAGCAGGAAUCGGGCGGCCUGUGGUGAAUGGGGAGAAUGGAACGAGGCAAAUCCAGGAGGGGCAGCAAUGGCAGCUGUACAGCUGUGGAACCGAGCAGCACGGUCGCAGUUCAUCUAGAGGGGACGAAGAGCCUGGUUCUGUUCCCAGGGAGAUGAGGGUGGAGGAUGGAUAUGGAGUCAUUGGGAGGAGAGAGGGAGGCCCUGCGUCUAGCUACUGGGACCUGCUCAGAGCGCACCUGUCCGACCCGUUGACAGGCAUUCUCAUGGACGACGCGAUGAUUCUGUCAUGUGGGCAUUCUUAUGGAAGUAGUGGGAUGCAGCAUAUCUACAGAAUGAAAGCUUGUGGUAAAUGUGGUCAGCCAAUUACCGAGGACUCCAUUCGACCAAACCUGGCUCUUGGCCUUGCAGUCCAGGCAUUUAGACGCGAGGAAGAGUCGGCGAAAACACUGAAAAGAAGAAGAGAUCGCAUCGAACAGGACAAAUGUGGCAACGAUGACCCGAAUCCAGCCGAGGUUUCGAGAGGCAAAGGCGUCCAGUAUCCUUUCGCUGUCUUCGACCGAGUGAUAAUCAAGGGAAACAAGAGGACCCCGGAGCGGUUCGUGGGGCGCGUGGCGGUGGUGACAGCACAGUGCUUGAAUGGAUGGUAUGUGGUGAAGACCCUGGACAACGCGGAGAGCGUGAAGCUGCAGUACCGCUCCCUGGCGAAGUUCGUGGACGGCGGCAGCGGUGAGCCUCCCGCCGUGGUCUCCAACAGUUCCCAGAACACAAGCUGGUUGUGA